RNAcentral lists this ribosomal RNA (253 nucleotides) under uncultured prokaryote. RNAcentral's name for it is "partial 16S ribosomal RNA". It matches the Rfam family "Bacterial small subunit ribosomal RNA", at positions 524 to 776 of the family's 1533-position model. The record is from RNAcentral.
UACGGGGGGGGCAAGCGUUGUUCGGAAUUACUGGGCGUAAAGGGCGCGUAGGCGGUUCGCUAAGUUGGAUGUGAAAACUCUGGGCUCAACCCAGAGCCUGCAUCCAAAACUGGCGGGCUAGAGUUCUGGAGGGGGUAGCGGAAUUCCUGGUGUAGCGGUGAAAUGCGUAGAUAUCAAGCGGAACACCGGUGGCGAAGGCGGCCUUCUGGACAGUGACUGACGCUGAGACGCGAAAGCGUGGGGAGCAAACAGG